Molecule: transfer RNA, 75 nt
Filed under: Candidatus Pelagibacter ubique HTCC1062
Lineage: Bacteria; Pseudomonadati; Pseudomonadota; Alphaproteobacteria; Candidatus Pelagibacterales; Candidatus Pelagibacteraceae
Description: tRNA-Gly
Source: RNAcentral
UGGAGCGGGUCAAGGGAAUCGAACCCUCUACCUAAUCGUUGGCAACGAUUCGCUCUACCAAUGAGCUAGACCCGC